This 1260-nucleotide long non-coding RNA is filed under the name Monodelphis domestica (gray short-tailed opossum). RNAcentral's name for it is "lncRNA (ENSMODG00000041482.1)". Lineage: Eukaryota; Metazoa; Chordata; Mammalia; Didelphimorphia; Didelphidae. The record is from RNAcentral.
GAUCUACCUGGACAUUUACAAGGGCAGUUCCAGCUAAUUGAAACAUUAGAGACCCACCAGGAAUCGAGCCCCUGAUGAAGGGGUCAGGAUGAGAGACUCUGUGAUCUCAGCAACACCCAGAUGUUGGUCUGGCUGAUGUUCCAUGAGGACAGUAAACUUGGGAGUUUCUGAAGAUCUGGACCUGAUGGGAUCUGGGCCCCCACAACCUGGUAGACCGUGAUGCUGAGAUGAUUACUAAAAGUGGACCAGCAACCAAAUGAAGUGCUCAUGCAAUUGAAAUUGCCUUGAGGAUACAGCCUUGGGACAAUCUCUUUGGGAGUUCCUGAAGAUCUGGACCUGACGGAGUUUAGCCCCAACAACCCUGAGAACAGCAUCUUUCCAAGGAACUACCCACCCAUCAUUUUGUUGGAAAUUCUGCGUAAUGUGUGAGGACUUCAUGAGGCUGUGUCCUUGGAAGUUCUCUGAUUAUUUUAAGCAAACUGGGAUUUCUCCUCUCGAAGUGUUAUUUCCUGGAUUGAGACUGGACAUCUACGUUUCUUUUUCUUCACUUGGAGACAGUGAGUGCUUGAUGGUUCUGAAGAAACUGUCCAACAAGGAACAUAAUAAAAUAGAGGAAAUUAAUUUUGUAUGGUUUUUGUUUAUUCUAAAUUGUCCUUACUUAGGAGGAAAAUUUAUGGGGAGAAGAUGUUACAUAAUAGAUAUUCUCUUAGUUUCUCCUGACUUUAUUAGGAUUUGGAUUGUUAAAACAGGAAAGUCUCCUCUUUUGAAGCAGUGGUCUUCAGUGAUUUAAAAUGGGCCCACUUCAUUUUUUGUUAUGACUGGCUGUGAGAAAAUAACUUCAUAUCCAUAGAACGGCUUUUUCCCAAAGGAAUAUAUUGAAUAGUAGAAUGUUAAUUUAUCUUUUCCAGAAGCCUGACCAAUGGCCACACACAGUUUUGGAGCAACAUCAUUGAACUUAAGAUCUCUCUUAGUUUCUCUUAGGUUUAGUAGAUCGUUGAUUAUCAAAACAAAAAUAGUCUUUUGCCCUCAUGGGAUAUUGUAGGAAUGCCCUCAGUGAAUGCCUGACAGUUCUAGAGCACUUGUCCCAAAUAGGACACAACAAAUCAUGGGACUGGAAAUUUUCUUUGAAAAAGUCCUUACUCCUAUAAAGAUUAAAAUUAAUGUUCAAUACUGCAUGCAUUAUAUUUAAUACUAUUUAUUAAAACCAACUUAGAGCAAAGAGAAAAUAAAAUCCAGUGAAAAUGAUUUAGCCGCUCUUAU